GUGGCUAUUAUAGACAGAAGCUGUCGCCUGUAUAGAUACAGAUGUGCACGAUGCAGGCACUGAACGUGAGUGCUCAGGAUUCAGGCACCGACACCAGUCGGGAGUUGGAGCUGCCAAAAGAGUUUCAGAUUCAAGCAGCUGGAAGGGGCCAGUCAAAAAGUCACUGCUGUCAACUGCCCAUGGAAAAAUGCCUGCUCCCAUCAGAGCAUCCCUGCCACUGCUGGUCAUGGCCAGCUGACACCAAAGACGCCGUCUCUGAAAAGAAUAAAAAUAUUGCAUGGGGGCUCUGGGGAAUCUCAUCACUCUCCUGACAUGCUAUCUUUGAGUCCCGCAUUAAAACAAGUGGUAGAGAGAGAAAUCUGCGGAGUCACUAUUUGUGUGGUAUAUUUUUUGAUGAUGGAUGGAUUUGGUUUCUAGAGCUAUUAAUCCAGUAUUUUUUUUUUUUUUUUAGGAAAAUAAAAUUAAUUUGGGGGGGAUGUGGGGAAUAAAC
This 490-nucleotide long non-coding RNA is filed under the name Anas platyrhynchos platyrhynchos (common mallard). RNAcentral describes it as "lncRNA (ENSAPLG00000026816.1)". The record is from RNAcentral. Lineage: Eukaryota; Metazoa; Chordata; Aves; Anseriformes; Anatidae.